UCCGGUUUGUCACCGGCAGUCUCGCUAAAGUGCCCAACUUAAUGAUGGCAAUUAACGACAAGGGUUGCGCUCGUUGCGGGACUUAACCCAACAUCUCACGACACGAGCUGACGACAGCCAUGCAGCACCUGUGUCCAGGCUCUCUUUCGAGCACCAAACCAUCUCUGGUAAGUUCCUGGCAUGUCAAGGGUAGGUAAGGUUUUUCGCGUUGCAUCGAAUUAAUCCACAUCAUCCACCGCUUGUGCGGGUCCCCGUCAAUUCCAUUGAGUUUUAACCUUGCGGCCGUACUCCCCAGGCGGUCAACUUCACGCGUUAGCUGCGUUACUCAAUGAGUCUCCUCACCGAACAACUAGUUGACAUCGUUUAGGGCGUGGACUAC
RNAcentral lists this unclassified non-coding RNA (379 nucleotides) under uncultured Gammaproteobacteria bacterium. RNAcentral describes it as "contains 16S-23S intergenic spacer region". The record is from RNAcentral. Lineage: Bacteria; Pseudomonadati; Pseudomonadota; Gammaproteobacteria.